RNAcentral lists this transfer RNA (59 nucleotides) under Urocitellus parryii (Arctic ground squirrel). Its description in RNAcentral is "Spermophilus parryii (Arctic ground squirrel) tRNA". It matches the Rfam family "tRNA", at positions 7 to 64 of the family's 71-position model. Rfam says of the family: Transfer RNA (tRNA) molecules are approximately 80 nucleotides in length. Their secondary structure includes four short double-helical elements and three loops (D, anti-codon, and T loops). RNAcentral also lists the same sequence under 1 other name. Lineage: Eukaryota; Metazoa; Chordata; Mammalia; Rodentia; Sciuridae. The record is from Rfam by way of RNAcentral.
GUAGCUCAAUUGUAGAGCACUUGCCUAGUAUGCAAGAGGCCCUGGGUUCAAUCCCCAGC